RNAcentral lists this ribosomal RNA (274 nucleotides) under uncultured bacterium. RNAcentral's name for it is "partial 16S ribosomal RNA". It matches the Rfam family "Bacterial small subunit ribosomal RNA", at positions 523 to 796 of the family's 1533-position model. The record is from RNAcentral.
AUACGGGGGGUGCAAGCGUUAAUCGGAAUUACUGGGCGUAAAGCGCGCGUAGGCGGUUUGCUCAGUCGGAUGUGAAAGCCCAGGGCUCAACCUUGGAACUGCAUACGAUACUGGCAAACUAGAGUGUGCGAGAGGAUAGUGGAAUUUCCGGUGUAGCGGUGAAAUGCGUAGAUAUCGGAAGGAACAUCAGUGGCGAAGGCGACUGUCUGGCUCAACACUGACGCUGAGGUGCGAAAGCGUGGGUAGCGAACGGAAUUAGAAACCCUAGUAGUCC